GUCCACGCCGUAAACGAUGGAUGCUAGCCGUUGGUAAGCAUGCUUAUCAGUGGCGCAGCUAACGCAUUAAGCAUCCCGCCUGGGGAGUACGGCCGCAAGGUUGAAACUCAAAGGAAUUGACGGGGGCCCGCACAAGCGGUGGAGCAUGUGGUUUAAUUCGACGCAACGCGCAGAACCUUACCAGGGUUUGACAUCCCGCGCUAAGCCCAGAGAUGGGUGGUCCCCGCAAGGUGCGCGGAGACAGGUGCUGCAUGGCUGUCGU
RNAcentral lists this ribosomal RNA (262 nucleotides) under uncultured bacterium. RNAcentral describes it as "partial 16S ribosomal RNA". It matches the Rfam family "Bacterial small subunit ribosomal RNA", at positions 793 to 1055 of the family's 1533-position model. The record is from RNAcentral.